Haemorhous mexicanus (house finch) is the source of this 939-nucleotide long non-coding RNA. RefSeq lists it as uncharacterized. The record is from RefSeq and is a predicted model, not a curated record. NCBI's taxonomy places the organism in Eukaryota, Metazoa, Chordata, Aves, Passeriformes, Fringillidae. The transcript has 2 exons.
CAAUAAAAGAUUUUUAUCUUUUACACAGGAAUUACUCCAGAACAAUUUGUUUGCACGGUGGGGUUUUAGGGUGGCAGAACCUCCCAGCACAGGGACCAUUUGCUGUCAAUUUUUGUCCCAGCCUCUGCCAGCCGUAGCUUCACCUCGGUGCAAAAUUCACAGCUCUGCAACGUUCAUUGUCACCUGAAUAAAGAUGUCAGGGAGGAGAAGGAAGUAUUUCCAGCUUGGUCACUGGAGCUCCAUCUCAUGGAGUGUUUCAUGACCUCCCCCACGGCUGCAGGAGGAAAUUCCCUCUGAGGGAAGGCUCUUUCUGCACGGGUGACUAUAGAGGGGGCUCAUUUCCCUGCAGGAGCUCAGGAGCAGGUCCUUGGUGGGGGUGGAACUCGUUCCAGAAGUCCCCUGGGAGGAACAGCUUUUGUGCAGAGCUGAUGUCUCACUAGAGCAUCACCUCCGUGCCCUGGCACAGCUGGAACAGGACCUGUGGCACAGCUGUGGGGCUGCUCCUGACGCCUCAGGUUUGAGCUUUUUUAUUUUUCAGUUCUGUGCUGCUUUAGUGUGUGGGUCUGGGUUCCAUAUUAUGGGAUGGCGAGCUCUCUUCACGGAGUAGGGAGACAAAACAAUUCCUUCUCCAGCCGGGACCGAGGACAAAUGAUCCAAAUUUCAGGCCCAAGAGCACAAACAACGUGGGCUGAAGAGAGAAAAACAAGAAGGAUGGGCUGGAGCUGUAAUUAGACAAUUAACUCCAAUAUACAAACGGAGCAGAACUUAUAAAAGUGAGAGACCCCAUGGCAGGUUGUGCAUUUUGUGACCAUUUUGGUUCAUUUUGGGUUCAUUUUGUGACCAUUUUGGGUUCACCUGGGGUGCAGCCUUGGCUGGGCCCUUGUGCUGCCCAAGAUGGAUCCAUGGAGGCCUCCUAAUAAAUCCCUGCUUUGUUCUUUA